Molecule: long non-coding RNA, 280 nt
Filed under: Elaeis guineensis (African oil palm)
Lineage: Eukaryota; Viridiplantae; Streptophyta; Magnoliopsida; Arecales; Arecaceae
Description: long non-coding RNA (EGUI_LNC011770)
Source: RNAcentral
GGCCAUCGUCAGUAUAAACCAUUCUUAGAGGAUCAUCUAGCAAAAAUGCUCUUAAGCUCCUUUACGCCUACCACUCUACCACACGUUAUAAUUGCGCUUGCACUGCCAUUCUACUACUCUCACAAUAUCUCUGCUAACAAAAGAACUUCCCUAUCUUUGAUGUUUCAGAUUUAAUCCAAUGUCCAAGCAAAGAUCCAAAUAUGAUCUCUUCCAUCCAGCAUCAUCAAGAGCAAUUGGCAUCAAAAUCAUCACCAUCUCAGCACAACAAUCAUCAUAUCGC